Molecule: signal recognition particle RNA, 97 nt
Filed under: Propionibacteriaceae bacterium
Lineage: Bacteria; Bacillati; Actinomycetota; Actinomycetes; Propionibacteriales; Propionibacteriaceae
Description: signal recognition particle sRNA small type
Rfam family: Bacterial small signal recognition particle RNA
About the family: The signal recognition particle (SRP) is a universally conserved ribonucleoprotein involved in the co-translational targeting of proteins to membranes. Archaeal SRP consists of a 7S RNA and homologues of the eukaryotic SRP19 and SRP54 proteins.
Source: RNAcentral
CGUGGUCCUCCGUGCGGCGGUACCUCCCCCAACCCCUCCAGGGCCGGAAGGCAGCAAAGGUAAGGGAGCUCUUCCGGGUGCACGGAGGGCCGCUUUG